UUGACCUCGGAUCAGGUAGGGAUACCCGCUGAACUUAAGCAUAUCAAUAAGCGGAGGAAAAGAAACCAACAGGGAUUGCCUUAGUAACGGCGAGUGAAGCGGCAAUAGCUCAAAUUUGAAAGCUGGCGUCUUCGACGUCCGCGUUGUAAUUUGUAGAGGAUGCUUCGGCGAGGACUCCUGCCUAAGUCCCCUGGAACGGGGCGUCACAGAGGGUGAGAAUCCCGUAUGUGGCGGGCGGUCCAAGCCAUGUGAAGCUCCUUCGACGAGUCGAGUUGUUUGGGAAUGCAGCUCUAAAUGGGAGGUAAAUUUCUUCUAAAGCUAAAUAUUGGCCAGAGACCGAUAGCGCACAAGUAGAGUGAUCGAAAGAUGAAAAGCACUUUGGAAAGAGAGUUAAAAAGUACGUGAAAUUGUUGAAAGGGAAGCGCUUGCAACCAGACUCGCUCGCAGUUGCUCAGCCGGCCUCUUGGCCGGUGUACUCUUCUGCGAUCGGGCCAGCAUCAGUUCGGGCGGCCGGAUAAAGGUGUCGGGAAUGUAGCACCCUUCGGGGUGUGUUAUAGCCCGGCGCGGAAUGCGGCCAGCCUGGACUGAGGAUCUCGCUUCGGCAAGGAUGCUGGCGUAAUGGUUGUAAGCGGCCCGUCU
Molecule: ribosomal RNA, 639 nt
Filed under: Phyllosticta pachysandricola
Lineage: Eukaryota; Fungi; Ascomycota; Dothideomycetes; Botryosphaeriales; Phyllostictaceae
Also listed under: 1 other name
Description: eukaryotic LSU rRNA
Rfam family: Eukaryotic large subunit ribosomal RNA
Source: RNAcentral